This 1017-nucleotide ribosomal RNA is filed under the name uncultured bacterium. RNAcentral describes it as "bacterial SSU rRNA". It matches the Rfam family "Bacterial small subunit ribosomal RNA", at positions 355 to 1375 of the family's 1533-position model. RNAcentral also lists the same sequence under 1 other name. The record is from RNAcentral.
UGAGGAAUAUUGGUCAAUGGACGAGAGUCUGAACCAGCCAAGUAGCGUGAAGGAUGAAGGUUCUAUGGAUUGUAAACUUCUUUUAUACGGGAAUAAAGUUAGCCACGUGUGGCUUUUUGUAUGUACCGUAUGAAUAAGGAUCGGCUAACUCCGUGCCAGCAGCCGCGGUAAUACGGAGGAUCCGAGCGUUAUCCGGAUUUAUUGGGUUUAAAGGGAGCGUAGGCGGGUUGUUAAGUCAGUUGUGAAAGUUUGCGGCUCAACCGUAAAAUUGCAGUUGAUACUGGCGACCUUGAGUGCAACAGAGGUAGGCGGAAUUCGUGGUGUAGCGGUGAAAUGCUUAGAUAUCACGAAGAACUCCGAUUGCGAAGGCAGCUUACUGGAUUGUAACUGACGCUGAUGCUCGAAAGUGUGGGUAUCAAACAGGAUUAGAUACCCUGGUAGUCCACACAGUAAACGAUGAAUACUCGCUGUUGGCGAUAUACGGUCAGCGGCCAAGCGAAAGCAUUAAGUAUUCCACCUGGGGAGUACGCCGGCAACGGUGAAACUCAAAGGAAUUGACGGGGGCCCGCACAAGCGGAGGAACAUGUGGUUUAAUUCGAUGAUACGCGAGGAACCUUACCCGGGCUUAAAUUGCAACUGACUGAACCGGAAACGGUUCUUUCUUCGGACAGUUGUGAAGGUGCUGCAUGGUUGUCGUCAGCUCGUGCCGUGAGGUGUCGGCUUAAGUGCCAUAACGAGCGCAACCCUUAUCGAUAGUUACUAGCAGGUCAUGCUGAGGACUCUAUUGAGACUGCCGUCGUAAGAUGUGAGGAAGGUGGGGAUGACGUCAAAUCAGCACGGCCCUUACGUCCGGGGCUACACACGUGUUACAAUGGGGGGUACAGAAGGCAGCUACACGGCGACGUGGUGCUAAUCCCGAAAGCCUCUCUCAGUUCGGAUUGGAGUCUGCAACCCGACUCCAUGAAGCUGGAUUCGCUAGUAAUCGCGCAUCAGCCACGGCGCGGUGAAUACGUUCCC